This 183-nucleotide non-coding RNA is filed under the name Paenibacillus lactis. RNAcentral describes it as "Lysine riboswitch". It matches the Rfam family "Lysine riboswitch aptamer". From Rfam's summary of the family: Riboswitches are metabolite binding domains within certain messenger RNAs that serve as precision sensors for their corresponding targets. Allosteric rearrangement of mRNA structure is mediated by ligand binding, and this results in modulation of gene expression. This family includes riboswitches that sense lysine in a number of genes involved in lysine metabolism, including lysC. Lineage: Bacteria; Bacillati; Bacillota; Bacilli; Caryophanales; Paenibacillaceae. The record is from RNAcentral.
UGAGGUAGAGGUUGCAGACAUGAUCAGUAAUCGCGUCGAGGCGAAGAGGAGCCGGGGAAGCGCAGAUGAAAGGCAUGGCUGCCGAAGUGCAGGAUAUACUCUUGUAUUCUGUGCUGGGGUCGUUGCCGAAAGGGACGGAACUGUCACGGGAAUUGCAUGACGCAAUCGCCCGUGUUGCGCUAU